UGCUUUUGUAAUAAUUAUCAAAAUACAAUAUUGUAGUUGUAAUUAGUUAAUCAAUAAAAAUGAUUUUGUAUAACACAAAUAAUUGCAAUUUAUUCUUAUACGCAAAUAUUAAAUUGUAAUCGAAAACAGAGGCGAGAAAUCCGGGGGAGACACACAAACUCAUUAGUCGAGAACAUAAUGACGAUUGCAAAUUACGAAAUAAAAUCAUGAU
Molecule: long non-coding RNA, 211 nt
Filed under: Mytilus galloprovincialis (Mediterranean mussel)
Lineage: Eukaryota; Metazoa; Mollusca; Bivalvia; Mytilida; Mytilidae
Source: RNAcentral